This 433-nucleotide ribosomal RNA is filed under the name uncultured bacterium. RNAcentral's name for it is "partial 16S ribosomal RNA". It matches the Rfam family "Bacterial small subunit ribosomal RNA", at positions 29 to 507 of the family's 1533-position model. The record is from RNAcentral.
AACGUACGCUGGCGGCAGGCCUAACACAUGCAAGUCGAGCGGACCCUUCGGGGUUAGCGGCGGACGGGUGAGUAACGCGUGGGAAUAUGCCCUUCUCUACGGAAUAGUCCUGGGAAACUGGGGGUAAUACCGUAUACGCCCUUUGGGGGAAAGAUUUAUCGGGGAAGGAUUAGCCCGCGUUGGAUUAGGUAGUUGGUGGGGUAAUGGCCUACCAAGCCGACGAUCCAUAGCUGGUUUGAGAGGAUGAUCAGCCACACUGGGACUGAGACACGGCCCAGACUCCUACGGGAGGCAGCAGUGGGGAAUCUUAGACAAUGGGGGCAACCCUGAUCUAGCCAUGCCGCGUGAGUGAUGAAGGCCUUAGGGUUGUAAAGCUCUUUCAGCUGGGAAGAUAAUGACGGUACCAGCAGAAGAAGCCCCGGCUAACUCCGUG